Molecule: transfer RNA, 78 nt
Filed under: Mesorhizobium amorphae
Lineage: Bacteria; Pseudomonadati; Pseudomonadota; Alphaproteobacteria; Hyphomicrobiales; Phyllobacteriaceae
Description: tRNA-Met
Rfam family: tRNA
About the family: Transfer RNA (tRNA) molecules are approximately 80 nucleotides in length.
Source: RNAcentral
UGCCAGAGUGGAGCAGCCCGGUAGCUCGCAAGGCUCAUAACCUUGAGGUCGGCGGUUCAAAUCCGCCCUCUGCAACCA